Molecule: ribosomal RNA, 465 nt
Filed under: uncultured bacterium
Lineage: Bacteria
Description: partial 16S ribosomal RNA
Rfam family: Bacterial small subunit ribosomal RNA
Source: RNAcentral
GAUGAACGCUGGCGGCGUGCUUAACACAUGCAAGUCGAACGGAAAGGCUCCUGCUUGCAGGGGUACUCGAGUGGCGAACGGGUGAGUAACACGUGGGUGAUCUGCCCUGCACUUCGGGAUAAGCCUGGGAAACUGGGUCUAAUACCGGAUAGGACGAUGGUUUGGAUGCCAUUGUGGAAAGUUUUUCGGUGUGGGAUGAGCUCGCGGCCUAUCAGCUUGUUGGUGGGGUACUGGCCUACCAAGGCGUCGACGGGUAGCCGGCCUGAGAGGGUGUACGGCCACAUUGGGACUGAGAUACGGCCCAGACUCCUACGGGAGGCAGCAGUGGGGAAUAUUGCACAAUGGGCGCAAGCCUGAUGCAGCGACGCCGCGUGGGGGAUGACGGCCUUCGGGUUGUAAACUCCUUUCGCUAGGGACGAAGCGCAAGUGACGGUACCUGGAGAAGAAGCACCGGCUAACUACGUG